RNAcentral lists this long non-coding RNA (988 nucleotides) under Homo sapiens (human). RNAcentral's name for it is "HSALNT0348426". Lineage: Eukaryota; Metazoa; Chordata; Mammalia; Primates; Hominidae. The record is from RNAcentral.
UUAACAGAAUCAUUGUUGUGUCUCCUGGUGGCAGCAUUCUCCUUCUGGAACUAAGAACUCUAGGCCAGCAGAAUGUAAUGUCAUGGAAACAGGAAGCAAAAAUUUUGCUAGUAGAUCACUGGGGAUGAUGGUGAGUGGUGUCACUUCCACUUCCAUCCCUUUAAUCCUGGAGCCGUGAGUCCUGGCUAUGGGAGAAACAGUGCCAUAUAUGGGAUGCUGAUUCAGAGCAUACACAGUCUUCUGGAGAACUUUACCCCAGGUCUGCAAAGUAUUGUUACCUAGUUGGCAUUGUAAUUGUGACUUCAAAAGGCCGUUCCAUCAUUUUAUCAAUUCAGCUGCUUCAGGAUGACAGAUAACAUGCAGACUACCUGGUCAUGUGGCCACGUUCUCAUGGUGAUGUCAGAGGGAAGAGUGCCAGCAGAAGUACUCUGCUUAGAUCACAUCUUCUAUCAUCCCCUUGUCCAAAGAAAGGACUCCAGCUUAUGAAAGAAAACGCAAAGAAAGAAGAGACCAUUCCACUGACCUCCUUUGAUGUUAGUUGUGGACACAUCACUUAUUUUCAACCAACAGAAUCAUCACUUGACAAUGGUGACCUCUACUCCCUUGAAAAUACUUGAAAAAAAUAUUUCCUAUGGGCUAAAGAAUAAGUGAGAGGUAUGUGAACAAUGGAAGAAUAGUUUCCAUUUAAGAUGGCUUCAGGAAAGUGGUGCUUGUAAGAAGAAUCAAGUUCCAAUUAAUGUCAAGAGAUUGUUGUGGCAUCUGGACACAUGACACACUUGAAAACAACACAUUAAAUUUAUACUGCCUGGAAUAGACAAAAAGCUGCCUUGUAAGCAUCAUCAACAAUGCUCAUCAUUGGGGGAGGGGUGUGCUGCAUUAGCUGGGUCCCAUGGAAUUAUAUUUUUAAAUUCUAAACUUUUCACAAAUAUAAAAGGGAUAGGCAUUUCAAAUCUGAAAGGCCACAUGAGGGAGAUAACUUCUAUUAAAU